This 635-nucleotide ribosomal RNA is filed under the name Weissella minor. Its description in RNAcentral is "bacterial SSU rRNA". It matches the Rfam family "Bacterial small subunit ribosomal RNA", at positions 52 to 673 of the family's 1533-position model. The record is from RNAcentral. Lineage: Bacteria; Bacillati; Bacillota; Bacilli; Lactobacillales; Lactobacillaceae.
GAUAUGAAGAGCUUGCUCGGAUUUGAAGAUGAACAUUGCAAAGAGUGGCGAACGGGUGAGUAACACGUGGGAAACCUACCUCUUAGCGGGGGAUAACACUUGGAAACAAGUGCUAAUACCGCAUAAUACUGAUAACCGCAUGGUUAUCAGUUGAAAGAUGGUUCUGCUAUCACUAAGAGAUGGUCCCGCGGUGUAUUAGCUAGUUGGUAAGGUAAUGGCUUACCAAGGCAAUGAUACAUAGCCGAGUUGAGAGACUGAUCGGCCACAAUGGGACUGAGACACGGCCCAUACUCCUACGGGAGGCAGCAGUAGGGAAUCUUCCACAAUGGACGAAAGUCUGAUGGAGCAACGCCGCGUGUGUGAUGAAGGGUUUCGGCUCGUAAAACACUGUUGUAAGAGAAGAAUGACAUUGAGAGUAACUGUUCAGUGUGUGACGGUAUCUUACCAGAAAGGAACGGCUAAAUACGUGCCAGCAGCCGCGGUAAUACGUAUGUUCCAAGCGUUAUCCGGAUUUAUUGGGCGUAAAGCGAGCGCAGACGGUUGUUUAAGUCUGAAGUGAAAGCCCACAGCUUAACUGUGGAAGUGCUUUGGAAACUGGAUAACUUGAGUGCAGUAGAGGAGAGUGGAACUCCAUG